ACCCAGGAGUUAAGAAGGGGAGGCAUUGAGAGACUCGGACUGAAAUAGAGCCACAGGAUGAAGUCUGGGGUACCUGGCAGAUUCCUGAGGUGGAAGUGUGUUGACAUCAGCUGCAAUUACUAGAUACAGUUUGCACAGCAGUAAAUGGUACACUGGGACUCAAAUCCAGGUAA
Molecule: long non-coding RNA, 173 nt
Organism: Sciurus carolinensis (gray squirrel)
Lineage: Eukaryota; Metazoa; Chordata; Mammalia; Rodentia; Sciuridae
Exons: 3
Source: RefSeq, a predicted model, not a curated record